UGAUCCUGCCAGUAGUGUAUGCUUCUCCUAAAGACUAAGCCAUGCAUGCCUCCGAAUAAGAGGAAGCGAUUAUCUCUGAAUCUGCGAACGGCUCCGCACACCAGUUGUAAACUAUAGCAAGGUCGCCCGGGGUUUUGGCUUCGGCCUGAGUGUCGGGUGACAUGGAUAACCCAGGUAAUUCUUAGGCUAAUACAAGAACAUAAAAACCGCUGACGGCGCAAGCUGGAGGCGGGGGCACGCAAUAACGGACACACAAGGAAUUACCUGGAAGGAGUGCGCGCUCUGACCGUCACAGAAAGGGGGCACAUGGUUCACCCCUCACGGGGCGGCUGUGGGCCCUGGCGGCGCUUGCGAUGUGCUUCUGACCUAUCAACUAGAUGGCAGCGUAAGGGACAUGCUUUGGUUACAACGGGUACAGAGGAUUAGGGUUCGAUCCUGGAGAGUGGGCCUGAGAGAUUGCUCAUACUUCUAAGGAAGGCAGCAGGCGCGCAACGUUCCCAUUGGGCAAAGCUCGAGGGCGUUAGGGGACAUAUGAAUGCCUGCCUUUUGGUGGGCAAUC
RNAcentral lists this ribosomal RNA (559 nucleotides) under Diderma sp. RNAcentral describes it as "SSU rRNA". It matches the Rfam family "Eukaryotic small subunit ribosomal RNA", at positions 9 to 510 of the family's 1831-position model. Lineage: Eukaryota; Evosea; Eumycetozoa; Physariida; Didymiaceae. The record is from RNAcentral.